UACGAAGGUCCCGAGCGUUAUCCGGAUUUAUUGGGCUUAAAGGGUGCGUAGGCGGGUUAUUAAGUCAGUGGUGAAAGCCUACAGCUUAACUGUAGAAUUGCCAUUGAUACUGAUGAUCUUGAGUAUGAUUGAGGUGGGCGGAAUGCGUCAUGUAGCGGUGAAAUGCUUAGAUAUGACACAGAACACCGAUUGCGAAGGCAGCUCACUAAGUCAUAACUGACGCUGAUGCACGAAAGCGUGGGGAGCAAACAGG
Molecule: ribosomal RNA, 253 nt
Filed under: uncultured bacterium
Lineage: Bacteria
Description: partial 16S ribosomal RNA
Rfam family: Bacterial small subunit ribosomal RNA
Source: RNAcentral